CCUUCUAAGGUCUGGCAAUUGGAAUGAGAACAAUUUAAAUCCCUUAUCGAGGAUCAAUUGGAGGGCAAGUCUGGUGCCAGCAGCCGCGGUAAUUCCAGCUCCAAUAGCGUAUAUUUUAGUUGUUGCAGUUAAAAAGCUCGUAGUUGAAUUUCUGGUGGGGGAAUGUGGUGUGACCCUUAGGGUUAUGACUUGCAAUCUCCGGCCAUCCUUGGGUGGAGCCAUUCUGGCAUUAAGUUGUCGGGGUGGGGAUGCCCAUCGUUUACUGUGAAAAAAUUAGAGUGUUCAAAGCAGACUUAUGUCGUUGAAUAUAUUAGCAUGGAAUAAUAAGAUAGGACAGCAGUGCUAUUUUGUUGGUUUGCGCGCCGUUGUAAUGAUGAAUAGGGACAGUUGUGGGUAUUCGUAUUCACUUGUAAGAGGUGAAAUUCUUAGAUUAAGGGAAGACGAACUACUGCGAAAGCAUUUACCAAGGAUGUUUUCAUUAAUCAAGAACGAAAGUAUGGGGAUCGAAGAUGAUUAGAUACCAUCGUAGUCUAUACCAUAAACUAUGCCGACUCUGGAUGGGCGGGUGUUUUUUUGACCUCGUCUGCACAGUAUGAGAAAUCAAAGUCUUUGGGUUCCGG
Molecule: ribosomal RNA, 620 nt
Filed under: uncultured diatom
Lineage: Eukaryota; Bacillariophyta
Description: SSU rRNA
Rfam family: Eukaryotic small subunit ribosomal RNA
Source: RNAcentral